UUUUAGUGUUUUUAUUUCUCUUUUUUUUAUCGUGCCUCCCUCUAAAGUUCAUCAUCACUCUUAACCACUCAUCUUCUUCAUCUAAUAUUUCCUCUUAACAUGAAUUGGAAUCAAUUACGCGACAGUCGACCACCGGUAGUGCCAUCAUCCACUAUUUCAUCUGCUCCAAAAACCACUGAUUUCAGCUUUUUUUUUCAUCUUCUUGUUUUCCCCCUUUAUUUAUCUGUUAUCUGUAAGAAAAAUGGAAAUUGAUGGAGUGCAGAAGAGAAUGAGGAGUAAGAUUAAAGUAAAAACAAGAUGGAAACAGAAAUGGGUUCUGCAAUUUUUAUUUUUACAACUGUGGUUCAAGAACAUUCGAUUACAGCUCCAACCAAGGCAUGCAAUCAUGAUUUUACAACUAUGGGUCAUAGAAUAUCAUGCCACUAGAAUGAUAGUGUUCACCAAGGCAAAACAUAUGAAGAUGGGCUAAGCCUUGGCUUUUCUGGCUUGAUGAGAUUGAAUCCUCUGCUGCACCUUCAAUAUCUAGUGCAUACAAAGCCAAUGGAUCAAAUUCAAUUUUUGCUUUUACUCAA
Long non-coding RNA from Gossypium raimondii (Peruvian cotton), 572 nucleotides. RefSeq lists it as uncharacterized. Lineage: Eukaryota; Viridiplantae; Streptophyta; Magnoliopsida; Malvales; Malvaceae. The record is from RefSeq and is a predicted model, not a curated record. The transcript has 2 exons.